AGAGCGAACGCUGGCGGCAGGCCUAACACAUGCAAGUCGAACGGACUCUUCGGAGUUAGUGGCGGACGGGUGAGUAACACGUGGGAACGUGCCUUUAGGUUCGGAAUAGCUCCUGGAAACGGGUGGUAAUACCGAAUGUGCCCUUCGGGGGAAAGAUUUAUCGCCUUUAGAGCGGCCCGCGUCUGAUUAGCUUGUUGGUGAGGUAAUGGCUCACCAAGGCUACGAUCAGCAGCUGGUCUGAGAGGAUGACCAGCCACAUUGGGACUGAGACACGGCCCAAACUCCUACGGGAGCAGCGAGUGGGAAUCCUUGCGCAAUGGGCGAAAGCCUGACGCAGCCAUGCCGCGUGUAUGAUGGAAGGUCUUAGGAUUAGUAAAACUUACUUUCGACCGGUAGAAGAUAAUGACUGUAGACGAGAAGACGACCCGCUAACGUCGUAGCCAGCGACGCCGACGGUA
RNAcentral lists this ribosomal RNA (458 nucleotides) under uncultured soil bacterium. RNAcentral's name for it is "bacterial SSU rRNA". It matches the Rfam family "Bacterial small subunit ribosomal RNA", at positions 26 to 522 of the family's 1533-position model. The record is from RNAcentral.